RNAcentral lists this ribosomal RNA (393 nucleotides) under uncultured ciliate. Its description in RNAcentral is "partial small subunit ribosomal RNA". It matches the Rfam family "Eukaryotic small subunit ribosomal RNA", at positions 30 to 432 of the family's 1831-position model. The record is from RNAcentral. Lineage: Eukaryota; Ciliophora.
GCUUGUCUCAAAGAUUAAGCCAUGCAUGUCUAAGUAUAAAUGGUAUACAGUGAAACUGCGAAUGGCUCAUUAAAACAGUUAUAGUUUAUUUGGUAUUCGAAUUUACAUGGAUAACCGUGGUAAUUCUAGAGCUAAUACAUGCAUUACGCCUGACUUUUCGGAAGGGCAGUAUUUAUUAGAUAACAGACCAUCUCCCCCAAAGGAAAUGUGGUGAAUCAUAGUAACUGAUCGAAUCGGCGCGCAAGCGGCGAUAAAUCAUUCAAGUUUCUGCCCUAUCAGCUUUCGAUGGUAGUGUAUUGGACUACCAUGGCAGUCACGGGUAACGGAGAAUUAGGGUUCGGUUCCGGAGAGGGAGCCUGAGAAACGGCUACCACAUCCAAGGAAGGCAGCAGG